UAACCAUGGUGAGGACAGAGGGCUUGCAAUUCUUUGUACCUUUCCCAUACUUGUUGUAAAGUUUUACUCCCCUAUUGAGUAAAAGAAGAUAUUUGCUAUUUCAAUGC
RNAcentral lists this small nucleolar RNA (107 nucleotides) under Olea europaea subsp. europaea. RNAcentral describes it as "Plant small nucleolar RNA R71". It matches the Rfam family "Plant small nucleolar RNA R71". From Rfam's summary of the family: R71 is a member of the C/D box family of snoRNAs containing the C (UGAUGA) and D (CUGA) box motifs. The record is from Rfam by way of RNAcentral. Lineage: Eukaryota; Viridiplantae; Streptophyta; Magnoliopsida; Lamiales; Oleaceae.